AGUGACACCAAGGAGUGACGGGAAUCAUUCAAGAAAGCAAGGUUCACGGCUUAGAUUGUCAUCGGGAAUGUCUUCAUCACAGCCCCUAGUCAAACGCACCAAGAUAUAUAUAGAUGAUGAAGAUGAGUAAUUAUCAUCCAUAUAAUCACUCCUGAUCACUCCAAUACUGCAAUUGGCUUCAAAUUUUAUUAAUUCUACAAAAACAUGUGUUCUGACAUAAAAAAUGGAUACAAAUAUCAAAUAUAAAUCACAUUAUGUUCACUAAAA
This is a long non-coding RNA of Frankliniella occidentalis (western flower thrips), 267 nucleotides long. RefSeq lists it as uncharacterized. The record is from RefSeq and is a predicted model, not a curated record. The transcript is spliced from 2 exons. Lineage: Eukaryota; Metazoa; Arthropoda; Insecta; Thysanoptera; Thripidae.